Molecule: ribosomal RNA, 271 nt
Filed under: uncultured bacterium
Lineage: Bacteria
Description: partial 16S ribosomal RNA
Rfam family: Bacterial small subunit ribosomal RNA
Source: RNAcentral
UACAGAGGGUGCAAGCGUUAAUCGGAGUUACUGGGCGUAAAGGGCGCGUAGGUGGUUAUUUAAGUUGGAUGUGAAAUCCCUGGGCUUAACCUAGGAACUGCAUUCAAAACUGGGUAACUAGAGUACUGUAGAGGGUAGUGGAAUUUCCGGUGUAGCGGUGAAAUGCGUAGAGAUCGGAAGGAACACCAGUGGCGAAGGCGGCUACCUGGACAGAUACUGACACUGAGGCGCGAGAGCGUGGGGAGCAAACAGGAUUAGAAACCCGAGUAGU